RNAcentral lists this unclassified non-coding RNA (3865 nucleotides) under Hevea brasiliensis (rubber tree). The record is from RNAcentral. Lineage: Eukaryota; Viridiplantae; Streptophyta; Magnoliopsida; Malpighiales; Euphorbiaceae.
CCCAAAGUUAAAUAUGUACAUUAUCAUUAAGUAAAUGAUGAUAUUAAAUUACACUGCCAAGCAAUAGCAGCAAGUAUAUACUUUCAACAAAAAAGAAAAUUUUGAUAAGAUCAUAGUAUUUCUGGACUUGUCUCUCUUCUAAUAGACUCCCCUCUGAUAUGCACUUUCACAGAACUCUCCCCCAAGAUCAUCGCAAGCCUCUGCGCAGAAAACCGUCUUUGCUUCAUUGUACUCCAGAUACUCCCUUUCAAAAGGCUCUGAAGGAAUUCUAGCUGCUUCAUUUCUGGCAUCGCUUUCAAGCCUUACUUCAGGAAAUAUGUCUGCCAAGCAGGCAUCUCCGCCGAUGGUUUCACAUGCUUCCGCUGGAAAUACAGAGAUCACAGAGCUGUAAUCAACGGUGGUGGAUGCGUCAGUGUCAUAAGCCACAGUAGCAGCUGCUUUGAUUGCAGAGCCACGGGGAGCAACAGAUGAAGCACCCAACUUUGGAGGAGAAAGGGUCACCUGAGAGAAGUUCUUGGAGGGUUUUAGAGGAAGAACAGGAGGUGCAAUGCUCAAAGCUGCCUGCAUCUUGACAAUGCUGUGUUAGUGAGAUACGGUGUUGGGUGAUUCACAGGUAGAGCGUGGGCUCCAAUUUAUAGAAUACUUGGUAAGAGCACGAUACUUAACGUGCUUUUUGGAUAAGGGUUACAUUUUCAAUGGAAGAGAUGGAGAAACUUUAGCAGGUUCCCAUCACCUAGGAGAUAUUUUUAUAUCUUUCAGAUAUUUUACCUUUAAUCAUGCUCAAAAUAAUAUCUAUACAUGCCUUGUCACUUGCUCAUGGGAUUGCAUUGUCUGUAUUUACCUUGUCAUGAUCAUGGCACCAAGACCCAUCAACAAUUCUUGACCUGAUCAUUUUGGUGAAAGAACUAUUUUUACUGGACCUCACCCAUCAAUUUAUUUGGUUCUAAGGGUAAUUCAGCUAAAAUAUUACCCUUGACCAAAACAACUGGGCCAUGGUCUUGGCCUUUGGGAACAUGUUAUUACCUGUAAGAACCUUAUGCUAAUCGUCCGGGUUCAAAAGAAAACAAGAUUUGACAUCACCUUCGAUAGGCUUGGCAAUUUAAAAAGCAUCGACCUCUUUGAUUCCAGAACCCAAACUGUUUGCCUUGCACCGUCACCUCCAUGUUGCAGUCUUUGAGAAUGGUCAAAGAUGACUUUAAGGCCAUUCUUGGAUACUAAGAUGAUGGAGAAAAUCAAGAUUCAGAUUAUUCCAAUCCAGUAAUUUGACUACAUAUGUAAAUGCAAUCGAGUCUCAUUUGCCACUAGAUAUAAUAUUUCAUCUGAAGUCCUGUUUCCCACAACUCUUAAUUCUUCACGAAGUAAAUAAUAGCAAGGUAGCUGUGAGGUUAAGAUCCUACCAUUGUUUCUCUGUCACCAACAUAGUUGCAGGGAAAUAUUUCUUGCUCUAAGAUAUAUAUUCAAUCACAAUUUCCUCGUGAAUAAAUGCACACAUAAUAGUUCAACAUCGCGAACUUGGGCAGUGGGCUAUAACAGUAUUGCAACGCGACAAAAUUUCAUUAUAUGAUGACAGCAAGUUAAAUAGUUUCAAAAAGUAAAAUGAUAUAGCUCAAAAUGAACCAGCAAACCCUCAAACCACUGAAUUUGAUGCUCUCUCGAAAAUCCUUAAAUGCUAAAAUGCAUUGAAGCAGUACACAUGUCAAACCUGGUGAACCACUAUAUAAAGAAUGCUCAACAAAUACUCACAUUGCAGUUUCAAUGAACAACGAAACAUUGCCAAUCGAUAAUCCCUCAGAAGAAUUCUCAAAAAGCAGGAGGGUUUUGACCAGUGAAUUGGCAAACACUGUCUCCUUUGCGUGUGUAGAAGUUGAAAAAUCCUAUAAUGCCACUUUCUCCGAUGAGAAAUACAGUAGUAGUUUGUAUUUCAUGUUAUACCCCUUGCACAUGGAUAUGUUGCUACAAUGGGUAAAUUUCAAGAAUUUCAUUGGGGACAGCUGUUAAAUAUUUAAUCACUUCACUUGAGUCAUUAAAUUAUUGUGGCAGGGGCAGAACUAGAAGUUUAUAUUUGGGGGGCCAAAAAUAAAUAUUGAAAAGAAAAUAAAAAAAAAAUAUGAAUGAAUUUUACAUAAAAGUGCAAAGGUCAAAACAAAAAUAAAAAUAUUGGAGGGGCAAAUAGUAAUUUUUUUAAAAAAAAUACACUAAAUUUUAUAGGUAAAAUUUUAAAAUUAAAAAUUAUGGGUAAAAAUAUAAUUUUUAAAACUUUUGGGCCCCCUCCCCAAGUUAGAAUGUAGUUCCGCUCCUAUUAGAUGGAUACUAUAAUCCAACCACUAUUAUCAGCAAAUGAUACAUUGGCAAUAUUGUGUGAACCAUCUGAUUUUACUUGUUGAUUCCAAGGGACUGGGUAUUGUGGAAAAACCUGCAUUGGUCACCUUUUUAUAUUCAGGUUGGGGUGGCAUCAUUUGUCAUGAAACUUUUUUGAAUGUUGAUUGAAUGUGGUAAGCAUCUAUAUAUAUCUGUCAAUGUGGAUAGCUAUCAUGCUUGCUACUGCUUAUCUCACAUCAAAGUGAAAAAUUUUAAAGGAAUCUGUCCUUGAAUAAAAUUUGCAAACUCAAGAUGUACAACUUUUCAACAUGCAAUGCUAUGCCAUGUAGAAAUUUCUUGUGGCCUAUGAUUCCCCAGGCCAGGUACUGCUAUGAUCUCAGAAACUAUAAAUCAAAUAUUUUGGGUGCUUCCUUUUCCUGUUUACACAAUUUAUUUCUGUAUUGUGCUUAUUAUAUUGUCUUUUGAGUGCUGAUUGCUAUACAGAUUGGAAAUCCAGAAGGAACGAGUUGGUAUGUGCAUAUAUUUUUAAUUUUGCUUGAAGCUUUAUAUAUGUUUACAUAUUUUACUGAUCUUUUGAUAAGACUAUCAACAGCUAACAUUUUGUGAUCAUAGUUUGUCAUACAAGGGUACAACGUAAUGUCAACUUGGAGAAGCUACAAAAUGGCUAUCUGUUUCCUGAGAUUUCAAUGCAUGAGCUUCAACACAUCAGGAAGUACCCAGAUGCAAAGUUGAUAAACCUUGGAAUUGGUGAUACCACAGAGCCUAUACCUGACAUCGUAGCAGUGAGCAUGGCUGAAUAUGCACAUGCCCUGUCAACGGUAGAAGGUUAUAGAGGAUAUGGAGCUGAGCAAGGGAACAAGGCACUGAGAAAAGCAAUUGCAGAAACACUUUACAAAGAUGUCCAGGUAAAAGACUCAGAAGUUUUUGUGUCAGACGGCUCACAGUGUGAUAUCACCCGCCUUCAGCUGCUUCUGGGUUCCAAUGUGACUAUGGCAGUGCAGGAUCCAUCAUUUCCAGUAAUACUUUCUGUUUCUUUUUAUUAGAUUUUAAUUGUUUUCUUCAAUUUCUGGUAGUGUAAUGGAAGAGGAUGUCCAAAUCUUAAAAUGCCCAACAUACACAUAUGAUGACCUUUAUUCCUUUCCCAUAUAUUUUUGUUUUCUUCAUCAGUUUGAUUGUGUUUGUACACUAGUUAGUAUAUAUUGAUUGGAGGGUUAUUGAAUAUUGAUUGUGUUUGGACAGUUUGCUUGAAUGUUAGAUGUAGAAGCUUUGUAUUGACGCAUGCGUUAUUUACAAUAUGCAAUUCUUUAUGCUCUUUAAUUUCCUCGAGCUAGUAUUAAGCUAAAUAUUAAUUUGAAACAUAAUAUUUAAUUGCCAGAAAAUUUUUUUGGCAGAGCCAGCCACGGUCCGAUUCUGAGUUGGAAUUGGAACUGGACCAGUGGUUCUGAUUCCAAGGGGAAUGGGAGUGGAAAUAAGGGUCCUCCAGAUUCCCGUCCUGGUUCGGUCUAGUUUUGAUUAAAUCCAUCAGUUAUUAUUAUUAUUUUUUAAA